This 189-nucleotide non-coding RNA is filed under the name Phocaeicola plebeius. Lineage: Bacteria; Pseudomonadati; Bacteroidota; Bacteroidia; Bacteroidales; Bacteroidaceae. The record is from RNAcentral.
UUGUCCUGCUUUUCAAAAGGUAACCUAACCGUUUCAAAAGGGAAUGCCGUGAAAAUCGGCAACAGUACCUGCUGCUGUGAUUCUUGCGUAAACCUGGACAUGCAUUGCAAGCCACUGUGAAUCGAACUCAUGGGAAGGCGUCUGUGGGGAAAGAUCAGUCAGAAGACCUGCCCGGAAAAGCACAAGUAU